Molecule: ribosomal RNA, 442 nt
Filed under: uncultured soil bacterium
Lineage: Bacteria
Description: bacterial SSU rRNA
Rfam family: Bacterial small subunit ribosomal RNA
Source: RNAcentral
AGAACGAACGCUGGCGGCAUGCCUAACACAUGCAAGUCGAACGAACUCUUCGGAGUUAGUGGCGCACGGGUGCGUAACGCGUGGGAAUCUGCCCUUGGGUACGGAAUAACUCAGAGAAAUUUGUGCUAAUACCGUAUAAUGACUUCGGUCCAAAGAUUUAUCGCCCAAGGAUGAGCCCGCGUAAGACUAGCUAGUUGGUGGGGUAAAGGCCUACCAAGGCUACGAUCUUUAGCUGGUCUGAGAGGACGAUCAGCCACACUGGGACUGAGACACGGCCCAGACUCCUACGGGAGGCAGCAGUGGGGAAUAUUGGACAAUGGGCGAAAGCCUGAUCCAGCAAUGCCGCGUGAGUGAUGAAGGCCUUAGGGUGUAAAGCUCUUUACCGGGAUGAUAAUGACAGUACCGGAGAAUAAGCUCCGGCUAACUCCGCGCCAGCAGCCGC